This is a long non-coding RNA of Passer domesticus (house sparrow), 1217 nucleotides long. RefSeq lists it as uncharacterized. The record is from RefSeq and is a predicted model, not a curated record. NCBI's taxonomy places the organism in Eukaryota, Metazoa, Chordata, Aves, Passeriformes, Passeridae. The transcript has 3 exons.
UUGUGCCAGGGCAGGGAUGAACCAUCCCAGAGUAUCUGACUUGCUUUAGUAAGGUAAAGCACAACACACACAGACACACACCAAGUGUUUCACAGCCCUGAGAGAGGGAGAAGGAGUCCUGGAAGGAAGACACAUGAAUGAAGCCCUCUUUAUCCCUGCAGCACAGGGAGAGGGAGCAAAUCGUGUGGGCAGGGACUAACAUCUGGAAUCACUAGAGGAGAGCCAGGCGUCACAGAAAGCGACAGCAUUCCUCAAGUUUCCAUGCAGGGUAGGGAACCUUCCUUUCCCCCGCGCAACCCCAUCCGUCAGCCGCUCACUUCCUGCCAAACUCUGCCUUCCCAGCAGCCAGCAAGCUCCUCCCUCGAGUCUAGUUAGCUUUCCACUGCCACGUCAAGUGAGGCAGAAGGACAGAAGGGAAGCAAGAAGGGAGGGAGCAAAAACCAGAAGAGGGAGGGAGGCUCAGCAAUGCCAGGGCGUAGUGGGGGGAGAGAAAGAAGGGAUGUGGAUUGCUCCUGCAGCAGCCAGAGGUGCAGCAUCUCCCAGGUGGAAUCCAGGUACCAGCCUGACACCAGCACUGGAAGAGGAAGGCGCUUGGAGACUUGCUCCAAAUUGGAAACAUGCAGGGAGCAGCAACAUUUCUUCUCCCCCAGCUGCCAGAGGAGGAUGUUUUUCCAAUCAGGACUUGGACUUUCGUUCACCCCAUCUCUGCCCCGCACAACCCCAUCCCAAAAGCAGGGAGGGGAGAGGACUAAUGAGCUGCUGAUUGCCGGAGAGCAGAUCGCAGAGGCUCCACUCCGUCUGCCCAGUGUUCAGACUACCUGUUCAGGACUACGAGAUUGUACAGUAGUCUGCACAUUGGUUAGGCUGUGCUGGGAUACACCACACCCUGCCAGUGCUGCACGGGGACGGCAACACCUGCACGGCAGAGGGACUUGCUUGGGGAGGGUGGGCUCUGGGGAUGGCUGCAUGCAGAGGUCACUCCUAUCUCAGCCUGGGAGGGUCUAACCCUUGGGAGCCAUGCCUGAUCAUCACUUCUACCUGCCUGCUCACCAGCCUGCUCACAACCCUCUCAUUUCUGCUCUGUCUCUCUCAUUCCAUUCUUAUUUCUUUCAGUUUCAUGUGCUUGUCCCACGGUAGCUGUGUUCAGGAUGGCUCGUGUUUCACAUGCUAAGCUUUGCAAAUGCAGAAAUAAAUACACAGGCCUGUCAGAGUCACAA